GAUGAAGAACGUAGCGAAAUGCGAUAAGUAAUGUGAAUUGCAGAAUUCAGUGAAUCAUCGAAUCUUUGAACGCACAUUGCGUCCUCUGGUAUUCCGGGGGGCAUGCCUGUUCGAGCGUCAUUAUAACCACUCAAGCUCUCGCUUGGUAUUGGGGCUCGCGGUUCCGCGGCCCCUAAAAUCAGUGGCGGUGCCUGUCGGCUCUACGCGUAGUAAUACUCCUCGCGAUUGAGUCCGGUAGGUCUACUUGCCAGCAACCCCCAAUUUUUACAGGUUGACCUCGGAUCAGGUAGGGAUACCCGCUGAACUUAAGCAUAUCAAUAAGCGGAGGA
This 329-nucleotide unclassified non-coding RNA is filed under the name soil metagenome. RNAcentral's name for it is "partial contains 5.8S ribosomal RNA, internal transcribed spacer 2, and large subunit ribosomal RNA". The stretch from base 1 to 120 matches the Rfam family "5.8S ribosomal RNA", at positions 35 to 154 of the family's 154-position model. The record is from RNAcentral.